This 2022-nucleotide long non-coding RNA is filed under the name Pan troglodytes (chimpanzee). RNAcentral's name for it is "lincRNA". The record is from RNAcentral. Lineage: Eukaryota; Metazoa; Chordata; Mammalia; Primates; Hominidae.
ACGUCUGCGGUGUUGCCCACCACUGCCUGGGACCUGGCCAAGGGCUCCACACACCAAGACCAAGGCAGCAGGAAGGAGAAAGGAGGGAAGGUAAAAGACUACUGAAAAGCUUUCAGCUGGGGCUGGGCAUGGAGGCUCACACCUGUAAUCCCAACACUUUGGGAAGCCGAGGCUGGUGGAUCACUUGAGCCCACGAGUCUGAGACCAGCCUGGCCAACAUGGCAAAACCCUGUCUCUACAAAAAAUACAAGAAUUAGCCAUGUGCACCUGUGGUCCCAGCUCCCAGGGCCGGGAGCCUGAAACCAAGGUGUCCACAGGGCCCUGCUGCCCCCAGAGGCUCUGGGCAGAGCCCUUCCGCCUUUCCAGCUCCCCCUGGUUCCCGUGCUCCUCGGCCUGUGGCCCCAUCACUCUGGCCUCUGCCUUCAUCUCAUGCCGAGAUCCCUGAAGCGGGCCCAGCUCUGUUCACUGCUCCCCCGGCCUCCUGCUGUUUCCCACACGCAGCCACGGUACAGGGCAGCUCAUCCAACCACCUCCCCAACCGCAGCCUCCAGGGAUGUACACCCUGCCUCAGGGGCUCUGCCUGGGUCCUGGCUGGUGGAGGGCACAGCCGUCAGGGAAGGCCCUCAGCUGCAGGAUGCCGUGCCACGGAGACCAACCAGGCCCUCUAAGGCACUGUGGCCGGCCCAGAUGUCAGCAGCUCCAGAAAUUAGGCUGGGACAGAUGGUGCCUGGUGACGCAAGGGGACUGUGGGGGCCACAGGGGACCCUGCUCACCUGGACCUACCGUGGAGGCCAGGGAGGGAGAUGGACUCGAAGGGCGGAAGGGCCCAGAGAAGGCACAUUUGCAGAGCAGCGGCCGCAUUUCCAGAGCUCGGGAGCCCAACAGGAAUCCCGUCUGGCCAUGGGACCACCGCCCUUGGGGCUGGGGGAUGCUGCAGGGGACGGCAGAGGGCAGACAGGCCAGGAAAAGGGGAGGGCAGAGGGCAGACAGGCCAGGGAGAGCGCCUGCAAGUGCCCAAGGAAGGGACCAAGCCCGGGCCCCUGGACCAGAGCGGCCGCCUGGUGGGGCAGGCUGGAAGGGGCCAAGGCCAGCGCCAAGGGGGAGCAGGUGAGGGACCCUGGUGGGCAUCUGUGGGAACAAGGCCACGUUUCUCCCUGCGCACGCUUUAAUCAAGGACAUUCCUGUGGUUCUCGAAAAGUGUCGCACAUUACAUGGGUGUCGUGAGCUGGGCUCCGUGAGAGUGUGUGGGUGGCUGGGGGCAGCAAGGGAGCAGCAAGGCCUCAAACCCGGGCGGCGGCCUGGCCUGCGCGCCAGGAUGUGCGGUGUGAGUUUCCCGAGCUGCAGGAACAAGGUCCACAGACUGGGGAGCUUCACACAACAGAAACUGCCUCGCAGUUCCCGAGGCCAGAGCCCAUCGGGGUGGCUCUCUGAGGCCGUGAGCCAGGACUGUCCUGGGCCGCCCCCUCUUCCACAGGCUGAGACCAUCCUUGGCGUCUGUUGGCCUGCGGCCGCCUCGCCCAACCUCUGCCCUCAUGUCCACACGGGUCCUCCCUGUGUGCAUGUUGGUGUCUGGAUCUGCCCUUUCUACUGUGGGGCAACUGUCGUCGAGGAUAGGGCCCACCACACAACACGGCCUCGUUGUAACUAAGUAUAGUCGGCAGUGAUCCUAUUUCCCAAUAAGGUCCCAUUCUGAGGUCCUGGACUUCAACAUGUGAAUUUUGGGGGCCACAACUCUACCCUGGCAUGCAGAGAGAGAAGGGGUGCGUGGAGCCCCUCAGCGGGAAGUCCCUUGGGAAGUCGCAGGCCCCCUUGGUGGGGCAAUUGGGACGUGGGUGUGAGGGUCCUGGGUACAGGGAGCCUGCCUACCAAGGCUCUGCCAACAGCUAUUUCUAAAUUCCUCGUGGAAAAUACCCUGUGGCCCUCCUCAUCUGGAGCGAGCGACAGGCUGGAGGGUGUCUGAGCCAGGCUGGUGCCGGGGAGCAGAUGCGGGUGACCCAACCCAGCCCCUUGUUCUUGUUCCCC